RNAcentral lists this ribosomal RNA (504 nucleotides) under uncultured bacterium. Its description in RNAcentral is "partial 16S ribosomal RNA". It matches the Rfam family "Bacterial small subunit ribosomal RNA", at positions 29 to 523 of the family's 1533-position model. The record is from RNAcentral.
UUUGAACGCUGGCGGCAGGCCUAACACAUGCAAGUCGAGCGGUAGCACAGAGAGCUUGCUCUCGGGUGACGAGCGGCGGACGGGUGAGUACUGUCUGGGAAACUGCCCGAUGGAGGGAGAUAACUACUGGAAACGGUAGCGAAUAUCGCAUAACGUCGCAAGACCAAAGAGGGGGACCUCCGGGCCUCUUGCUAUCGGAUGGGCCAAGAUGGGAUUAGCUAGUAGGUCGGGUAACGGCUCACCUAGGCGACGACCCCUAGCUGGUCUGAGAGGAUGACCAGCCACACUGGAACUGAGACACGGUCCAGACUCCUACGGGAGGCAGCAGUGGGGAAUAUUGCACAAUGGGCGCAAGCCUGAUGCAGCCAUGCCGCGUGUGUGAAGAAGGCCUGAGGGUUGUAAAGCACUUUUAGUGGGGAGGAGGGUGUCUAGGUUAAGAGCUAGGAUAUUGGACGUUACUCACAGAAAAAGCACCGGCUAACUCCGUGCCAGCAGCAGCCGCGG